CUACGGGUGGCUCCAGUGGGGAAUUUUGCGCAAUGGGGGAAACCCUGACGCAGCAAUACCGCGUGAGUGAAGAAGGCCUUUGGGUCGUAAAGCUCUUUUCUUGGGGAAGAUAGUGACGGUACCCAAGGAAUAAGCACCGGCUAACUCCGUGCCAGCAGCCGCGGUAAUACGGAGGGUGCAAGCGUUGUUCGGAUUUACUGGGCGUAAAGGGCACGUAGGCGGCACAGCAAGUUAAGGGUGAAAUCCCGGGGCUCAACUCCGGAACUGCUCUUAAAACUGCUGAGCUAGAGAUAGUCAGAGGCGGGUGGAAUUCCUGGUGUAGAGGUGAAAUUCGUAGAUAUCUGGAGGAACACCGGUGGCGAAGGCGGCCCGCUGGGGCUAUUCUGACGCUAAGGUGCGAAAGCGUGGGGAGCAAACGGGAUUAGAUACCCGUGUAGUC
Molecule: ribosomal RNA, 439 nt
Filed under: uncultured bacterium
Lineage: Bacteria
Description: partial 16S ribosomal RNA
Rfam family: Bacterial small subunit ribosomal RNA
Source: RNAcentral